AGAGAAGUGUAGCCAUGUGACUUGUUUCAACCAAUAAAAUACUACUUCUAGGCAGAAGCUCUAAUCCAGGUAAGACUCAUCCUGCUCUCUGUCCCUCUGUCCAAGUGGCCAGGAAUGUUCUAGUGAGUCAGUGUGGGUCCUACAGUAGGAAAGCAGAUAUGCAAUGGGAUAUGUGGAGUGAACCAGCAAUACACCUUGGUUGCUUUAAGCCUCUGAGCCAAUGUUCAUAUCCAACCCCUCCUCCUAUUACCCACUUUAGAUGACAGGAGUUGUGUCACCAGUAAAGCAGAAGGGGUCAGGGGCACCACUGUCAGCAGAGCACCUGUGCUAUAAGGCCUCACUCAGUAGCUCUGCUGUGGACCAGGCUGUUCAGUAUACUAAUCAAUUUUAAUCAUCUCCAGAGGAAAGCAUCGCCCAAAUUAGAAAGGAGGAAAUCCACCUCAUAUUGAGACCUCAAAAGUCACUCUGUGACCUUUCUGGGCCCCACGUUUCCUCAUCUGUAAAAUGGAGUGAUUAUCAUCUACCACACUGUUGCUGCAAGGAUUUGACAAGCUAAGUACAAGUAAAGCUAGGGUAGAGCUUGUUGUCUCAGUAAACACUAAACUCACCAUUACUGUGCUCGCCAGCUUUCUAUAUAACUGCUGCAAGCUUGUCCAUGCCUCUACUGGAUUUUAAGAGGGUCAACCGCUGAGCACACGCGGCCUAGAGUGAGGCCUCAGGAAGAACUCUGAAACUCAGCGCUCCAGACACAUAGGCCUCCUAGCCGGGCGCGGGCUCCUAGCGAGGUCUCAGCAGGUAGCUGACCACUCCCACCCACGCCCAAAGGCACAGCCCGGAGCGCAGACCCCUGCCGUGGGCGCAGCUGCCUGGAUUUCAACCCGUCCUCGUUCUCCGCCCGGCUCCGGAAGCGCGCAGCCCGCAACACCGGUAGACACUGCUCAGAGGGCCGGCUUCGGUCCGGGCCGGCUUCGGUCCGGGCGGUCUGGGCGUCGAAGUCACGAGCGCGAGCACACACACACGCACACACACGUUUCCUAAUCUCUGCACCCAGCGGGUAACCUCUCGGGGACGGGGCUGAAAGGAGCAACAAGAGCAGACCCGACUCCCCGGCCCCAAACGCCACGGGACCAAGGCUCGGGCAGGUCAGGGUCACAGGACAGGGGCCGCCGCCUCCUCGACCUCGCGCGGCCCCAAGCCCGAGCCGAAGAGUGGGGCGCACCCAGGCGG
This 1227-nucleotide long non-coding RNA is filed under the name Chinchilla lanigera (long-tailed chinchilla). RNAcentral's name for it is "lncRNA (ENSCLAG00000023041.1)". The record is from RNAcentral. Lineage: Eukaryota; Metazoa; Chordata; Mammalia; Rodentia; Chinchillidae.